GAAGAACGCAGCGAAAUGCGAUAAGUAAUGUGAAUUGCAGAAUUCAGUGAAUCAUCGAGUCUUUGAACGCACAUUGCGCCCCCUGGUAUUCCGGGGGGCAUGCCUGUCCGAGCGUCAUUGCCGCCCUCAAGCACGGCUUGUGUGUUGGGCCCCCGCCCCCCGGCUUCGGGGGGCGGGCCCGAAAGGCAGCGGCGGCACCGCGUCCGGUCCUCGAGCGUAUGGGGCUUCGUCACCCGCUCUGUAGGCCCGGCCGGCGCCCGCCGGCGACCCCAAUCAAUCUUUCCAGGUUGACCUCGGAUCAGGUAGGGAUACCCGCUGAACUUAAGCAUAUCAAUAAGCGGAGGA
This 345-nucleotide unclassified non-coding RNA is filed under the name soil metagenome. Its description in RNAcentral is "partial contains 5.8S ribosomal RNA, internal transcribed spacer 2, and large subunit ribosomal RNA". The stretch from base 1 to 117 matches the Rfam family "5.8S ribosomal RNA", at positions 38 to 154 of the family's 154-position model. The record is from RNAcentral.